AUUGAACGCUGGCGACGUGCUUAACACAUGCAAGUCGUGCGAGAAAGGAGACUUCGGUCUCUGAGUAGAGCGGCGCACGGGUGAGUAACGCGUGGAUGAUCUACCCUUGAGUUCGGGAUAACGGUGCGAAAGCGCCGCUAAUACCGUAUAACAAUCCAUUUCAUCGUGGGUUCAAAGCAGGCCUCUUCAUGAAAGCUUGCGCUUGGGGAUGAGUCCGCGUCCCAUUAGCUUGUUGGCGGGGUAACGGCCCACCAAGGCUACGAUGGGUAGCCAGUCUGAGAGGAUGAUCAGCCACACUGGAACUGAAACACGGUCCAG
RNAcentral lists this ribosomal RNA (318 nucleotides) under uncultured bacterium. Its description in RNAcentral is "bacterial SSU rRNA". It matches the Rfam family "Bacterial small subunit ribosomal RNA", at positions 30 to 334 of the family's 1533-position model. The record is from RNAcentral.